GAUGAACGCUAGCGGCAGGCCUAACACAUGCAAGUCGAGGGGUAACAGAAGGUGCUUGCACCUUGCUGACGACCGGCGCACGGGUGCGUAACGCGUAUACAAUCUGCCUUAUACUGGGGGAUAGCCUUUAGAAAUGAAGAUUAACACCCCAUAGUCUAUAGAAGUGGCAUCACUAUUAUAGUAAAGGUUACGGUAUAAGAUGAGUAUGCGUCCUAUUAGUUUGUUGGUAAGGUAACGGCUUACCAAGACUACGAUAGGUAGGGGCCCUGAGAGGGGGAUCCCCCACACUGGUACUGAGACACGGACCAGACUCCUACGGGAGGCAGCAGUGAGGAAUAUUGGACAAUGGAGGCAACUCUGAUCCAGCCAUGCCGCGUGCAGGAAGACUGCCCUAUGGGUUGUAAACUGCUUUUAUACGGGAAGAAACACCCCUACGUGUAGGGGCUUGACGGUACCGUAAGAAUAAGCAUCGGCUAACUCCG
Molecule: ribosomal RNA, 482 nt
Filed under: uncultured Flavobacteriaceae bacterium
Lineage: Bacteria; Pseudomonadati; Bacteroidota; Flavobacteriia; Flavobacteriales; Flavobacteriaceae
Description: bacterial SSU rRNA
Rfam family: Bacterial small subunit ribosomal RNA
Source: RNAcentral